CUACGCACUCCUACGGGAGGCAGCAGUGGGGAAUAUUGCACAAUGGGCGCAAGCCUGAUGCAGCCAUGCCGCGUGUAUGAAGAAGGCCUUCGGGUUGUAAAGUACUUUCAGCAGUGAGGAAGGUGGAUAUGUUAAUAGCAUAUUCAUUUGACGUUAGCUGCAGAAGAAGCACCGGCUAACUCCGUGCCAGCAGCCGCGGUAAUACGGAGGGUGCGAGCGUUAAUCGGAAUUACUGGGCGUAAAGCGCAUGCAGGUGGUUUGUUAAGUCAGAUGUGAAAGCCCGGGGCUCAACCUCGGAAUUUGCAUUUGAAACUGGCAAACUAGAGUACUGGUAGAGGGGGUAGAAUUUCAGGUGUAGCGGUGAAAUGCGUAGAGAUCUGAAGGAAUACCGGUGGCGAAGGCGGCCCCCUGGACAGAUACUGACACUCAGAUGCGAAAGCGUGGGGAGCAAACAGGAUUAGAUACCCUGGUAG
RNAcentral lists this ribosomal RNA (473 nucleotides) under uncultured bacterium. Its description in RNAcentral is "bacterial SSU rRNA". It matches the Rfam family "Bacterial small subunit ribosomal RNA", at positions 329 to 793 of the family's 1533-position model. The record is from RNAcentral.